Molecule: ribosomal RNA, 1355 nt
Filed under: uncultured bacterium
Lineage: Bacteria
Description: bacterial SSU rRNA
Rfam family: Bacterial small subunit ribosomal RNA
Source: RNAcentral
AUUGAACGCUGGCGGCAGGCUUAACACAUGCAAGUCGAACGAUGAUUAUCUAGCUUGCUAGAUAUGAUUAGUGGCGGACGGGUGAGUAACAUUUAAGAAUCUGCCUAGUAGUGGGGGAUAGCUCGGGGAAACUCGAAUUAAUACCGCAUACGACCUACGGGUGAAAGGGGGCGCAAGCUCUUGCUAUUAGAUGAGCCUAAAUCAGAUUAGCUAGUUGGUGGGGUAAAGGCCCACCAAGGCGACGAUCUGUAACUGGUCUGAGAGGAUGAUCAGUCACACCGGAACUGAGACACGGUCCGGACUCCUACGGGAGGCAGCAGUGGGGAAUAUUGGACAAUGGGGGCAACCCUGAUCCAGCCAUGCCGCGUGUGUGAAGAAGGCCUUUUGGUUGUAAAGCACUUUAAGCAGGGAGGAGAGGCUAAUGGUUAAUACCCAUUAGAUUAGACGUUACCUGCAGAAUAAGCACCGGCUAACUCUGUGCCAGCAGCCGCGGUAAUACAGAGGGUGCGAGCGUUAAUCGGAAUUACUGGGCGUAAAGCGAGUGUAGGUGGCUCAUUAAGUCACAUGUGAAAUCCCCGGGCUUAACCUGGGAACUGCAUGUGAUACUGGUGGUGCUAGAAUAUGUGAGAGGGAAGUAGAAUUCCAGGUGUAGCGGUGAAAUGCGUAGAGAUCUGGAGGAAUACCGAUGGCGAAGGCAGCUUCCUGGCAUAAUAUUGACACUGAGAUUCGAAAGCGUGGGUAGCAAACAGGAUUAGAUACCCUGGUAGUCCACGCCGUAAACGAUGUCUACUAGCCGUUGGGGUCCUUGAGACUUUAGUGGCGCAGUUAACGCGAUAAGUAGACCGCCUGGGGAGUACGGCCGCAAGGUUAAAACUCAAAUGAAUUGACGGGGGCCCGCACAAGCGGUGGAGCAUGUGGUUUAAUUCGAUGCAACGCGAAGAACCUUACCUGGUCUUGACAUAGUGAGAAUCCUGCAGAGAUGCGGGAGUGCCUUCGGGAAUUCACAUACGGGUGCUGCAUGGCUGUCGUCAGCUCGUGUCGUGAGAUGUUGGGUUAAGUCCCGCAACGAGCGCAACCCUUUUCCUUAUUUGCCAGCGGGUUAAGCCGGGAACUUUAAGGAUACUGCCAGUGACAAACUGGAGGAAGGCGGGGACGACGUCAAGUCAUCAUGGCCCUUACGACCAGGGCUACACACGUGCUACAAUGGUAGGUACAGAGGGUUGCUACACAGCGAUGUGAUGCUAAUCUCAAAAAGCCUAUCGUAGUCCGGAUUGGAGUCUGCAACUCGACUCCAUGAAGUCGGAAUCGCUAGUAAUCGCGGAUCAGAAUGCCGCGGUGAAUACGUUCCCGGGCCU